Molecule: transfer RNA, 59 nt
Filed under: Gordionus alpestris
Lineage: Eukaryota; Metazoa; Nematomorpha; Gordioida; Chordodea; Parachordodidae
Description: tRNA-Arg
Source: RNAcentral
ACUCCAAAAUUCUAAGAUCUAAGAUUUCGACUCUUUUAUAGACAACAUUUAAUGCGUCC